Molecule: long non-coding RNA, 391 nt
Organism: Galleria mellonella (greater wax moth)
Lineage: Eukaryota; Metazoa; Arthropoda; Insecta; Lepidoptera; Pyralidae
Exons: 4
Source: RefSeq, a predicted model, not a curated record
GUUUUUUCUACUUGAGUGACAUAUUAUUAUUGUUACAUUGUGACUGUCUUAAGAAAAUAUACUGGACCUGCGUCAGGUGGUCGGGUCGGCGGCACAGUGUGACGUCACACGCAGGUGACAUCACCGCGGAUGCUCGGGUCGGCGGUAGUGGCAACAGACAGAGGAACACGUCGUGUAUGGUCUCCCGGCGGCCGGCCGCGCGGAACCAGCGCUGGCAGCGCUCGUUCGGGAUCACUUCCACAUCCACUUCCUGCAAAUCAUUAAACGGUCACUGAUGAUGAUGACGACUGACAGGAAAGGCAAUAUAUGCUGUUUGAAGACCACGCCCCGGUCCAGCUGGACUAACGCGACAUCGUUCCUGAAGUCGGCUGGCUCGUACGCGGGGUGCACC